Molecule: long non-coding RNA, 5165 nt
Filed under: Homo sapiens (human)
Lineage: Eukaryota; Metazoa; Chordata; Mammalia; Primates; Hominidae
Description: non-protein coding THAP9-AS1:27
Source: RNAcentral
GCAUUUGACCGCUCCUCCCUCCGCGUUGGAGGCGGAAUAGUGGGUUUUGCUGCAACCGGUUUAUUUUCCUUCUGUUUUCACCCAUUCUGGCACAAUCUGGCGCCAUCGUCCUUCUUGUGAGGCCAAGCCUGAAAAUGCGAAGCAGAGAGGCAGGACCAAAAUUGAGGCGAAUCCAGGAACCUGCCAAUGGGUCUCCGGGUGCGGUCUCUGAAACUGGAGGAUAUCGGGAGGAAAGGCUCUCCGAUGCGGAGAUAAUGGGGAAGCUCUUGGCAUGGUUGGCUGUAGGUAUGUGAUACCGGAGGAGCAGGAGUCAAAUAGGAUACGCCGACUUUUAAUUCAAGGAACCCUUUUCUGAAACACUUUGCCACAAUGAAGGAAAUAAGAUUACAGCCGAAGAUACAUAUUAAGGAAUUGUACUCUCAGAGAUGUUGAGAAAAGAUACAUGGGUCUUGGAAGAUAAUUACUCAAAAUAUGCAGGGAAGGUAGUAUAUCUUUCUAUUUUAAAUGUAUUAAGUAUUCCUGGAACUAUAGCAGUGAGUUGGAAAUGGAGGAUUGUCCAAGUAAAAAACAUUUAUUAAGGCUUUAAUGAAAUCUACCUAUUUUAUGGUAUAUAAUCUCAUUAAUUGUCCACUUGGAAAGAAUAAUAACAGAUAUUUAUUUAUUGGCCAGUUACUAUGGGCCACAAAUUAUGCUGAGCUUUUUUUAAUUUCAUUUCAUUUUAUUUUAUUUUUUGAGAUGGGGUCUCACUCUGUCACCCAGGCUGGAGUGCAGUGGCGCAAUCUCAGCUUAUUGCAACCUCUGUCUUCCAGGCCCAAGCAAUCUUCCCACCUCAGCUUCCUAAGUAGCUGGGACCACAUGCAUGUACCACUACACCUGGCUAAUUUUUUUUUGUAUAUUUGGUAGAGACAGGGUUUUACCAUGUUGCCCAGGCUGCUAAGCUUUUUAUAUACAGUAUAUAGAAAGAGUUGGUUUUCUUAAACAAUAUUUAUUUCUCAUAAUAACUCUAUGAAAGCAGGUAUAGACUUCUUGCUUUCUAGGGUUGGUAUCUUGCUUGUUGAGGACCUACCCUUUUGUGUUGCCGAAUUUUUCAUUGUUUGAGUUCUGUCUUUUGUUUCAGAAAGCCAUGGAGUUUUGAAAUUAUUGUUAUAUCAUUAUUUGUUACAUAAUUAUUUCUACUUCUAGAAUCUCAUGCUAACUUGGAAGUGUCUUCUCAGCAUCAAGCCUGAUAUGGAGGGGCAGCUACACCCUAAUACGCUCCAAAACUAGUUAUGCUUUGUUUUAUACGUAAUGCUUCUGUUAUUAGACAAGUGGUUUCCAAAUAUCAGAAGCAGUGCUAGGACUUAAAGGAAAAGGGGGAGUGUUUUUUCUUCUAAUAGAACUUUUGAGCAGUGAUGAAAGGAAAACAAGAAGACUCAAAAGAUUAUAAAUCUCAGGCACGAAUUAGUGUUCUGCCAAUUAGGAACAUUCUGAUUGCUUGACAAGGUCUAUAUUUUGCUGAUGAGGAGUAGAAGCCUGUGGGAGGUGGGGGUGGAAGCAGCAGAAGGAAAAGAGUAGCAAGUAUUUAGUAAAAUGUAUUCAUCAUAGUGGAUAAAAAUCAAGCUUUGGGGAAAAAGGUCAAACUCCUUCAAUGAUGCUGUACAUCUGUACCUUUACUCCAUCCUAUAGCAAAUAUUUGUAUAACUGCACAGAAGAAAUUGGACAAUAUUCCUUGAAAAAUUCUUAGAAAGUUCAACUUUCCAAGUUAGUAUCACCCCAAGGAAAAUUAUAUGAGUAGGAAUACCUAAUUUCUAGCCAUACUCUAGUUCCAAUUAGCUUCUCUAAGUAGCUGGAACUGCAGGCGUGUGCCACCACACCUGGCUAAUUUUUUGUAUUUUUGGUAGAGAAGGGGUUUUGCCGUGUUGCCCAGGCUGCUAAGAUUUUUAUAUAUAGUGUAUAGAAAGAGUUGGUUUUCUUGGCCAGGCAUGGUGGCUCGCACCUGUAAUCCCAGCACUUUGAAAGGCUAAGGCAGGUGAAUCACCUGAGCUCAGGAGUUCAAGACCAGCCUGGCCAACAUGGCGAAACUCCGUCUCUACUAAAAAUACAAAAAUUAGCCGGGCAUGGUGGCACGCACCUGUAACCCCAGCUACUUGGGAGGCCAAGGCAGGAGAACCACUUGAACCCAGGAGGUGGAGGUUGCAGUGGGCCAAGAUUGGCCACUGCACUCCAGCCUGGGUGACAGAGCAAGACUCUGUCUCAAAAAAGAAAGAGUUGGUUCUGUUAAACAAUAUUUAUUUCUCAUAAUAACCCUAUGAAAGCAGAUACAGACUUCUGGCUUUUUAGGAUUGGUAUUUCACUUGUUGAACACCUACCCUUGUGUCAGAUGUAUAGCAGGUUAACAAAGUCAAUACAGUGAUACACUUGACAUAAUCUUUGUUCUGAGUUUUUUUCCCAAUUAUAGUAAAAUUGGAGGUCUUAACUGUUCUACAUUAGAUAAAUAUAUGCAUUUGUUUUAAAGAGCUAAGCAAUGAGAAUCUUACAACUAGAGCUGAAGUUCAAGAAAUAAAUGUCCAAUGAUUAAAUUUUUUCCACUGCUGUUCACAUCAUGAUUUGUUGUGAUUAAUGUAUGUGGAUGAGGACAUAAUAGAAAAAGAAAAUGAUGAGACUUGUAUAUAUUGUGUUUCUGCACAAUGAGUUCCUUUGAAUGUUUUUCGUUUUAGGAAUAAAAUUGAAGGGUGUUUUUCUUAGAGAACAUCAUUUGUCAUAUUUAUUUGAUCAAGAAGUUGAAGAUUUAUAUAAUAAGGUAUGGGACUUACACAUUUAUUUUGAUAAAAGAACACAGAAAAGGUCAGGUAUGAGCAGAAAAUUGACAUUUAUUUCAGCCUAAUGUGGAUACUGUACUCUGAAUUAAAAAUUUCUUUUCCUUACUCUUCCAGCUUUUAAAGAUAAGUAUUAUUUCAAAAUAGUAUUUUUUUAAUUAAUAGAUUCAAUUCAGGAAAGGCAUUGGAGGGGGUGGAGCUUUUAACUUUGACAGUCUCACUCUGUUGCCCAGGCUGGAGUGCAGCGGCGCAAUCUCUGCUCACUGCAAUCUCUGCCUCCUGGGUUCAAAUAGUUAUUGUGGCCCAGCUUCCCAAGUGGCUGGGAUUAGAGGCGCAUGCCACCACACCCAGCUAAUUUUUUUUAUUAAGUAGAGACCAUGUUUUGCCAUGUUGGCCAGACUGGUCUCAAACUUCCAGCCACCAACCUCAGCCUCCCAAAGUGCUGGGAUUAUAGUCAUAAGCCACCACACCUGGCUGUUGGUUAUCUUUUCUUAGAAAUAAUGAUAUAAUCUUUUCAGCACCUGAUAUUCUUAAAGAUCCAGGGUUUACAAAUGACUGUUAGAUAUGCCAAGGAUGACUAGCCUAUAACUUAAGGAUCUGUUCAGGAACAGUAGAAAAGAAGGUGAUAGGAAACUGGGAAUCUUAAAUCUAAUACUAGUUCUGUCAUGAAUUAGGCUUGUUAUUGUAGUUGUUUCUCAAAUUUAAGAAAAUAUGAGGGGUCUUGAAAAAGUGCAUGGAAAAUGCAUAUCAUGAAAAAACUAUGCAUGGAUUUCAAAAUUUUUGGACCAAAAUAAACUCCUACUAACUUGUUAUAACAUGUCUGAACAGGAUCUAGUUUGAAGCACUAAGAAGAAUAAGACAUCAGUUUGAAAAGAGGCUCUAUCAGAACAACACGAAUUCUGCUAAAAUUGAAGCAAGAACAAACAUCAAAUAUAUGUUGACACUUGGGUGGAAGAAUGGUGAACUAAUUGAUGCUUUAUGAAAAGUUGAUAGGGACAGUGCUCCAAAGAAAUCAGUUUACAAAUGGAUAACUCGUUUUAAGAAGGCAUAAGGUAAUGUUGAAGAAGAAGCCCACAGUGGCAGAUCAUCCACAUCAGUUUGUGAGAAAAAAGUUAGUUCAUGGCGUAAUUGAAGAAAACCAACAAUUAACAGCAGAAACAACAGCCAACACCAUAGACAUCUCAGUUGGUUCACCUUACACAAUUUUGACUGGAAAAGUUCAGCAAACUUUAUACCUGAUAGGUACCAAAACCAUUGCACCCAGAUCAGCUACAGACAAGAAUAGAGCUUUCAAUGGAAAUUUUAAAUAAGUGGGAUCAGGAUCUUGAAGCCUUUCAUUGAAAAAUUGUAACAGGAGAUGAAACAUGGCUUUACCAGCGCAAUCCUGAAGACAAAACACAAAGCAGUGGUUACCAAGAUAAGUAGUUCAGUUAAAGCACAAGAGGACUGGUUGAGAGCAAAGGUCAUGGCAACAGCUUUUGAAUGCUCAAGGCAUUUUGCUUGUUGACUUUCUGUAGGGCCAAAGAAUGGUAACGUGCUUAUCAUGGGAGUGUUUUGAGAAACUUAGCCAAAGCUUCAGCAGAAAAAUCCCCGAGAAAGACCAGAGAGUUCUUCACCACAACAAUGUUCCUGCUCAUCCCUCUCAUCAAACAAGGCCAUUUUGCAAGAGUUUUGAUGGGAAAUCACUAGGCAUCCACCCUACAGUCCUGGUUUGGCACCUUCUGACUUUUUGUUUCCUAAUCUUAAAAAAAUUUUUCAGGGCAGUACAUUUUUCUCAAGUUAAUGUAUAAAGAAACUGCAUUGAUGUAGAUAAAUUCCCAGAACUCUCAGUUCUUUAGGGAUGGACUAAAUAGCUGGUAUCAUCACUUACAAAAGUGUCUUGAAUGCUAUAGAGCUAAUGUUCAAAAAUAUAGUUUAUAUUUUUUAUCUUUUAACCAUUUUUCCACAAACUUUUUGAAGUCUCCUUGAAUAUGUACCAUUUAUAAAGGGGAAAAAUUCUGUGACUACUCAUGUUGACUUAAUGCUGACUUAAUUUUCUGUUUUGUAAAUAUAUACAAACAAGUUGAUACAAAUUUUGUUUAUAGCCCUUAAACAAAUUUGUGAAAUAAAUGCAUUCAGAAACAAACUAAAACAAUGAAAUGGAUGCUACUGUUUUACUGAGGUGUAAGCAUAGUACUGGCUGCUAUGGAAAAAGUUACAUAAACAUUCAUGUAUCUUGUGAUGAUUGUUUUGUCUACAACUUCACUCUUUGCAGACAUCAAGACUGUUGAAAUGAGGGGAAGGGAUCUGAAUUCCCAAAAGAAUGUCAAAUGGGCAUGGAGGCUCAUGCCUAUAAUCCUUGCACUUUGGGUGGCUAAAGCAGAAGGAUCC